Non-coding RNA from Podarcis lilfordi (Lilford's wall lizard), 82 nucleotides. The record is from the annotation of a GenBank genome assembly. NCBI's taxonomy places the organism in Eukaryota, Metazoa, Chordata, Lepidosauria, Squamata, Lacertidae.
GUCCCUUCCAACAAUUAGCUCAGAUGGUUAGAGCAUGGUGAUGGUAAUGCCAAGGUUGAUGGUUUGAUCACAGUAUGGGACA